This 400-nucleotide ribosomal RNA is filed under the name uncultured bacterium. RNAcentral's name for it is "bacterial SSU rRNA". It matches the Rfam family "Bacterial small subunit ribosomal RNA", at positions 976 to 1381 of the family's 1533-position model. The record is from RNAcentral.
UAGACUUGACAUCCCGAGCGAAACUAUAGAGAUAUAGUGGAGGUUAUCUCGGUGACAGGUGGUGCAUGGUUGUCGUCAGCUCGUGUUGUGAAAUGUUGGGUUAAGUCCCGUAACGAGCGCAACCCUUGUCCUUAGUUGCCAUCAUUUAGUUGGGGACUCUAAGGAGACUGCCGGUGACAAACCGGAGGAAGGCGGGGACGACGUCAAGUCAUCAUGGCCCUUACGAGUAGGGCUACACACGUGCUACAAUGGCCGGUACAGAGGGUCGCGAAGCCGCGAGGUGGAGCUAAUCUCACAAAGCCGGUCGUAGUCCGGAUUGGAGUCUGCAACUCGACUCCAUGAAGUCGGAAUCGCUAGUAAUCGUGAAUCAGAAUGUCACGGUGAAUACGUUCCCGGGCCU